UUCUCUACUCCACUCUCCGCUUUCCGUGUCCAUCUGAACGCACGUAGUCACGUCGUAUACGAAGAUCUUAAUAUAAGGGUUAUGUGGCACAAGAAUAAUUAACUUCAGAUUAAACAAUUGGCUCGAGUUGUAUGCGAGGAUUUAAAAACAUCGUGUAUAAGAUUAAUGAGACAAAUCUUCAGCAAUGAAUUAGCCAUGGAAUACAGCUGGUAUGGAGCGAAAAAGAAAAAUGUCUUCAGCAACUUACAAUUGUGUAAAGUAAUUAUAUGUAAAUAAAAUAUACAAUCAGAAUAUACA
This 297-nucleotide long non-coding RNA is filed under the name Harpegnathos saltator (Jerdon's jumping ant). RNAcentral's name for it is "uncharacterized LOC112590641, transcript variant X2". The record is from RNAcentral. Lineage: Eukaryota; Metazoa; Arthropoda; Insecta; Hymenoptera; Formicidae.